ACUACCACUUGCUAUAUUAUUUCAAGAGAUGAGUGCUCUAAAAAAAAGGAGAUACGAGGAAAUAAAAAGGGGCAAGUGCCCGGAACCUCGAAAGAAAAGAAAAAGUGAGACGAGAGGUAAUGGACAAGUGUCCGACAGUAGAAUUAGGGGUACAAGAUACCCACCUGAGAGAAAAGAAAAAGAAGAGCAUCUCAUUCUCCUCACAAAGUUUCAAAAAGCAAGAAAUGUAUGUAUCGCCUCAAAGAGCAAAAGUAGAAUUAGACUUUCACCGUUGUUAUCACCAUCAUCACCAUACACUAUUCAUUCGCCACACAUGCACAUCUUGAUUUGACUUAUUGAUUUGUUUCUUUAGAUCCAUGGUUUGACUAUACAAUAAAUGUCUUGUGAGUAUGUAUAUUUUAUCUCCCACCUAUGAGCUCCAGAUAUUAAAGCCUUAUUAGAGUAGGGUGAGAGAGAAGGCAAUGUCACUAUGCCUUAUACCACAAAUACCACAUAUCUUGAGAGACAGCAUAUACCAUCACUGCCUUGGUAAAGAUCUAGAAAUACCACAAAAGAGGGAUAUGAGAGAGUCAUACAAGGAAUCUCUGAGUUUCAUUUGAAAAUCUGCAAAAACUCCAGAGCUAUAGCUGAUCAAGAAUAAGAGACAUGGCACUUGACUAGACUGUUCUAUCUUUUAACUACUCAAGACAGAAGAGAUGGUUACAAGUCCCAUGGUGAAAGGUAAAAUAAGUAAGUUUUAAGUCUUGACAGUUUACUCUAACUCAGAGAUGAGACCUUAUUUAAAAACAUGUGUACCGUCAAUUUUUAAAGGCAUUACAACAACUUCUGAUCCAUCACUGAGUCUAUCCUUGCUCAGGGACGAGCAAGAGGUAAGCUUGGGGGAGUUUGUUGACGGUCCUUAAGUAUCAAUUUUAAUUAUCAAAUAAAAAAAGAAAAGGAUCCAAAUGAAAUCAACAUCUAGACUUAGGGUUUUAUCUAACAGAAUUCCACGAGUUUUGAUGUUUGUCUAUUUCUAUAGGAGGUUAUCAGAGAAUACGGAAGAAAGGCCCACACGUCGGGAUUACAUAGAGAUAUCAACGUGCCGCACAAUUAUCUUACAUCUAGAAGACUCUAGAAGCCACGGGAAGGAAGCGGAGGCCGAACGGGGCCAGACACUAGGCGCCCGCCCCCUGUAGGACUCCAAUCAGGACACUCUUUCGGGAAAGAUCUCCACCGACCUAAAGGAUCAAGUAUAACCGUUCAAUCAAUGUCAGUUUGAUCCAACGACCCAUAUUCACUAGAAGGGACUAUAAAACCAGACCCCCUGGCCCCUGAAGGAGAGAGCCUCUCAACCCUAAUUCAUUAUUCCUCAAGGGAGAAGAUGCUUCUGAUCAAGAUUAGAGCCACCACAUCAAUUAGAUAUCUAGAUUAGCAUAGCUACAUAGGAUUAGAACUAGAAGGAGUCAAUCUUCGAUUGGUUUCCGGAUCUGUCAAGAGGAUUCUUGGUAAUUCUCUAAUUGUUCUUCUAAUUGUUCUUCUAAUCAUCUUUGUCCUUCAAUAUUAUGAAUAUGACUUUGUUCUACUUCAAUAUAUUGCUUAUGACUUUGCUCUACUUGUUUAUAUUCAAGAUUAUAUUGUUCUAAGUUUAUCAUAGUUAUAUACUUGGCUUAGUUAGAUUGGAUUUAUAUACAUGUUUAGGAUCGUAUAGCGUUUAUCCAUCGGAUCCAUGGGUAAAUGAUAGAUAUUGUGUAGGCGUGGUGCUUAUACCGUAUUUAUCUGCGAUUGUACCCAAUAUGCCACAUCGUGGGGUAGUUCGUGAUAGUGACAGCUUCAUUGAUUCUUAUAUAGUCCCCCUCUCGUGUAUUGGGCUGGCAGAGCAACAUUAUUACAGGGGAGUGAUUGCUAUGUUUCUCAUUUACCUUGCUAAUAUCACUAUGAUGGGCGUAGUCUUUUCUCACAAUGAUUGCUAAGUAUGCUUGCACUAACUAUGAUAAUGCUAGACUAUAUAGUUGAGAAUAACUUAGGAAAUAUUCUUGUAGUUCGUUCUAAUACCAUGCUAAUGACUUUCUAGAGUAUCUAAUUGAGGUGCUUAUCAUAUUUAUUAUGUGGCUAAGUUAUGCUGAUCAGAUUAAUUAUCCUUGUCACUAUUCAUUACUUCAUAUAUCUUUUAUGUGACACUUACCCCUGUAUGAAAGAGUUAGAUAAAUGUUUUCAAUUAUACAUGCAAUGAUAGAUACUCAAUCUCAUAUUCUAUUCUGUAAUCAAUAUUGAUGAUUGCUAAUCCCUUCCCAGUGGUAAAAAUAUAAAUAACGAUACCUGGAAUACUUCCCGGUUAAAAUGCUACAUCGGUAUUAAUCUAUGCGCUUGCAGAUCCCAUUCAUUAUUUUAGAAGAGCAAUUGCAUAUUUCAAUACCGCGUCUCUCAUGUCAUGCUGGGGAUGACAACUUGGCUUAAGUGGUAUGAGGGAUAGGUUUGGCAUUUUUGGCACUGUUACUAGAAUUAGAAAACUGUCUACUUUUGGUAAUGAUGUUAAGAAUACCAAUACAUCACAUCUCCUCUGAGAUCACUCUCAAGAUCUCAUCAUUGGGAGUCCAUCACGUGGUCUAACUACUCGCUCUAGACAUGCUUUAUUUAUUGAACAUCACGCUUUUGUGUCUCUUGAAGAUGAACCCAAAACCAUAGAGGAAGCUCUUUGGGAUGCGGAUUGGAUCAUUGCCAUGCAAGAGGAGUUGAACAACUUCUCCCGCAUCAAGUAUGGACACUUGAAGAGCGACCCAAAGAUGCAAGUGUGAUUGGAACAAAGUGGGUCUUCCAGAACAAGAAAGAUGAUUAAGGCAAGGUGGUGCGCAACAAGGCAAGGCUCGUGGAAAAAGGCUUUUCACAAGUGGAAGGUCUUGACUUCGGUGAAACCUUUACACUGGUAGCAAUACUUGAAGCUAUCUGUAUCCUACUUGCAUAUGCAUCAAGUCAUGACAUUAAGUUGUUUCAAAUGAAUAUGAAAAGUUCCUUUUUAAAUGGUUACAUUAAUGAGCUUGCCUAUGUUGAGCAACCCCCCAGUUUUGAAGACUCUAGGUACCCCAAGCAUGUCUACCGGUUGUCUAAGGUGCUCUAUGGUCUUAAGGAGCUCCUAGAGCUUGGUAUGAGAGGUUUAGGGACUUCCUCAUUGAGAAGGGCUUCAAGAUUAGGAAAGUUGACACAACAAUCUUCACCAAGAAAAUGAAUGGGGAAAUCUGUCGACGAAAGCUGGUCGGUAGUCUACCUUGGGGUAUACCCAUGGUAGUAGUUUAUCGGCAGACAGGUGUGCAAGCUACGAACUUGACGGUGACGCAAGACACAGACAAGGAUUUUAUCCAGGUUCGGCCGCCGUGUGGGCGUAAUACCUACGUCCUACGUCUGAUUGUUUUGCUAUGUGUUGAAUUGAAUUGUCUAAGGGGGGUCCCAUGCCUCUCUUUAUAUAGUCCAGAGGGCAGGGUUACAGAUCUAGAAACUAAUCCUAGUCGGUUACAAUUGCCAUAGAUAAUGCGAUAUCAAUUCCUAUUCUAACCGACUAGAAUCCUGCUUGAUCCCUACGUCUUGUUUCCUUGCGCGAAAACUCCAAUCAGUUGGAUCAAGCUUCGAACCAUCUCGUGAUGGACCAAGUCUCCUGGUCCAAGUCUGGCCGUAAGGGUAUAGGGGUUUAUACCCCCACAGCUAGUCCCCGAGCACCAUGCAUUGUGAUGUAAUACGUCGUCUUGAGCUUCUGAGGCUCGUCAUCUUCAAUCAGCAUGAAAGUCGCCCAAAUAGUUGCAAUGGUAUUUUAACCAACUCAAAAGAUAGUUGAUCAACAUUUACAUCGAAGAAGCAGGUUGUUCGAAGAAUGCAUGGUGCUCUUAAUCAAAAAAUAUUUUCUUUCCUGAUGAAGUGUGCCCAUUUUACUUUUCUGAAAAGUAUGGACGUUCAAAGAUGCAAGCAUAUUGACCGCAAGGUGAAGUGUGCCCACUUAGUCCCCAAGCCUGGCAAUUGGUGACAUAAUCACGUGAUGCGAGGUCUAAAAAGAAAAUCCUUAAUAGAAAAGCUAAAACUGAAAUGCAUCGACAGAUGCAUCGUACCGAUGUAGUCCCCAAGAUUGUUGGAAGGUAAAGUAUGAGCCUUGUAGUAAGGUCUUGAAAAAUAAAACUAUCCCUUCAAACGUAUGCGAUCGAAUUUACUAGUUCUUGAGCAUAUUAUGCUCAACAGACGGUACAAUCCACAAUCUGCGAAUGAGGAGGCUCGUCAACCAGUCCCCGAGCAUAUGAUGCUCGGUGGUCGGUACAGUCCCCAGUCUACGAAUGAGCAGGCUGGUCGACUAGUCCCCGAGCGUAUCAUGCUCGGUGGUCGGUACAGUCCCCAGUCUAUGAAUGAGCGGGCUGGUCGACCAGUCCCCGAGUGUAUCAUGCUCGGUGGUCGGUAUAGUCCCCAGACUUUCAAGCAGAUCCAAACAAAUUAAUUACUUGGCUGUGAAAACAUCAUGUCGCCUCAUUAAUUUGCGAUGUGACGAGGCACCCUGCUAUCUUUUCAGUCUAUCGCAUAAAAAGGGGUGCCUACUAACUGCACAGCCGCUCAUUGCGCGGAUCAAGAAAGGAAAAUCAAUAAUCAGUUUAAAAAGGCUGCCAAAUUUACUGCAAGAGAAGUUGAAAACCGAAACGCCGCUUCCGCCGCAAAAACCGCACAUUUCCCCAAAAUGCAGGAAGUGGAAGAGGUGGUGCUACUGUUAUAAAAAGCCCAAUGAUGUGUCUUGGAAUCUUUACCCAGGAGUUGUGUACUAGCAUUCUGCCUGUAUUCCCUUGCUGUCUUCUACCUUCAUCUUCCUCAUCGCCUCCAAUCCCGCAAGACCUAGUUCAAAACUCACUGCACAGAAAGAAAUGGCCAAGAGCGACUCCAAGAAGAGGGACAAGAUGAUGGCCAAGGAGUGGGAGAAAUCACGGUGCACCACGAGGUCCCUCAAUGACCUCGUCGAGAUGGGGCUACUGCACGAACAGGAGCUUGGCGGCUGGAGAGCGCCGGAAGGGGAGAGUUACCCAGAUCCCCGAGCUGGUGAGAUUGUUGUUUUUGAAGAUUUUUUCAAGAGGGGGUUUGGGGUGCCUGUUCAUCCAUUUCUUCAAGGGUUGCUUCUUUACUAUGAGAUCGGGAUCUGCAAUCUGCACCCGAACUCCAUUCUGCUUGUUGCAACCUUCAUUCACCUCUGUGAGGCGUUUGGCGGUAUUGAGCCGCAUUUCGACCUUUUCUGCUACUUAUUCUGUUUGAGGAAGAAAGGAGCAGUCGGAGGCUCGAAGAUUGCAGUUGGAGUAUACCUCAUUCUCUGUGAUGGGAUGAAGAACCAGUAUCUCAGCUGCCCCUAGAACACCUCCCUCACCGAGUGGUAUAAGAGGUGGUUCUACAUCAGGGAGGAGCCGGGUAGCGCCACAUUCUGCGACGUCGGCUACAUCCCUGAGAAGAGGGUUAGCUGGACAGACCGGCCAGAGUUCACCGACCAAGUGUUCGAGUUGAUGAGCCUGAUCGACUGGUCACGCUUGGACAGGCCAGGAGUGGUCGGGAACUUUCUGAGCCGACAAGUCAUGCCCUGCCAGAGGAGAAUAAACUCGACGUAUGAGUACCAAGGUAGCCAGGACUCGACCAGGAUGCACCGGGACAACCUGGAGAAGCGAGAGAUCCAGCAGAGGAUCAAUGAAUUAUUCAACCUAGCCGACAACAGCUUCAUUCGGAGCGACAACCAGAUGCACGCCUACAAGCUGGGUCGACCAGCCCCCAAGGUAAUUGAAGUCUUUCUGUAAUGUUCUGAAAGUAUCAUACUCCUUUGCCAAUAGCUUGUUGUACUUUUGUUGUAGAUCAGAGACAUUGACCAGGUGUUGACGGUCCUUAAUGCUCACAUUUAACCGUCAACUAAUCAUGAAAAAGGAUCCAAAUGCAACCGACACCUAGACUUAGGGUUUCAUCUGAUAGAUUUCCAUGAGUUUUGGUAUUUGUCUAUUUCUGCAGAGGGUUAUCAGGAAAUAUGAAGGAAAGGCCCACACGUCGGGUUUACAUAGAGAAUUAAUGUGUGCGGUAAUUUUCCAUAGUCAGGAAGACUCUAGAAGCAACUCGACCGAAGUGGAGCCGAGACGGGCCUGGGACCAGGGCGCCCGCCCUUGAUCCUAGGGCGCCCGCCCUGGUACAAGCACCAAUCACAGAAUGGAGUACACCAUUACAAAGAUCUCGUCGAGCUGAUCGAAAUGCAUAUAUUAUUUGCUAUAUUUGGAGUUCGGAAUCAAGAGAUAUUAAUAAAAGAAGGACUCCACAUAAAAGAACUGUGGGAUUAAUUGGGCCCAAAUCAGAUUUUGGUCCAUUAAGGCCUUUGUGCAUUUUAAUGAGAUGUGGUGGAAAGUUUAGUACCACAUCGCUUGCUGAACCAAAAACACACAAAGGAAGAGGACUAUAUAAGCAAGGCCCCUGGCCCCUGGAGGAGAACAUAUCAUUAUAGAGUUGAGAGGUGCCCUCGAAGGAUAACCUUUCCUUUAUAGAGAUUUAGGGCUAGACAUUCCAAUGUAGUAGAUUAGUUCUAGUCGGGAGUUAGGGAGAGCGGAGCUGCGCUUCGGUCCUAGAGAAGUCUUCAGAGUUUUGGUAUGUCUUUAUAUUUAUCGUAAGACUUAUGCUUUAAUAUAUUUAUCUUCUCUAUUUACUUUUAUGCCUUUAUUAUUAUCGAGUAGUGUAGUUGUUAUAUUUUGGCAUAGGAUCUCCGUUCGCAUCGAGUGCUCUAGUUAUUCAUGGUAAUUAGAGUAGUAAUCGUUAGUGUAGACGUGGUGUCUAUACUAGAGGUUACCUGAGGUUGCACCCAGUCCUGUGGAUUGUUGUGGUAGCCCUAGGGUAGUGACAGCCCUAACGGUCGACGUAUUGCACCUCGUUCGGAUCGGUGUUUGUAGGACCGUAGUCUGGGCUUCCCAGCCCCCUUCUCAUAUCUUUCUGUGGUUGGUGUUCUGAUGUCCCAAAGUGCUAAUAUGUGAUUGCUAUAUCUAUUCAUUCUUUGUUAUCAUAGAACUGAAGUAAUAGAGAAGUAUACAGGAACCUAGGUCUCUCCCGUUGUCCUCCCGCUAUAGCUAUCUACGCAUUUAUCAUAGAAUUCUCACCUUUAUAUUAUUACCUAUAAUAUAUCAUUUACCCCUACUUUAGUCUAGUUGGUUUGUUAAAUUAGUAGAUGCAUGAUAGUAAGUUAUUAGAUUCUUUGACCUUAGCUUCCUAGUGGUAAAAUAUAAAUAACGAUACCUGGAAUAUGUGUCGCUUGCAGAAUUUUUCUUAUUCUUAUUGCACUUAACGAAUGUCAACACCGGGCGAUGGUAUAUGUGUCGCUGGCGCCAGGUAUGGAGCACCCGGCCGGAGUGGAUCCUCCAGCGGACAACGUUGCUCGGUGUGACCGAUACACCAGCAGUGACGAAGAGGAGAACCGGCCGGCGCCGACCACUGACGACAGGGUGGCCGGCAAGAGGCCGAUGGCUAUGGAGCCAUCUCCAGCGGAAGCAGCGCCAGCAGGGGCAGCUGCAGGUCCUGUGAUGGGCCAAGGGUCGACCUCAGGCAGCCGAGCGCCCAAGCGCCGCCGGCUUAUUAGAAUCGUUGAUGACGAUGAUGAGGAGGAAGAGGCGGCCCCGACCUUGGUCCGCAGACCCCGCGGCCACCCCAACGUCGCCCCAGGCGAUGGUGGUCGGGUUGCUGAGGACACGCCUGCCGCACACGUCGAGCAGGCGCGACCAGGCGGAGCAGAGAUAACGACGAUGGCUGGGCUAGCCAGGAGGAGAGUCUUCUUAGUUCAAAUCUGUAAGUCCAUCGAGGAAAGUUUCUUUUUUCGUGAAGUUUGAUUUCAGUGUGUAAUUUUGGAUUGGAUCUUCUUUGUAGUACUGCCUCGGAUGUUGAUCCUGGCAGUGUUUUGGACUCGAGGCCGACUGUGUCAAUGACCGCCGAGGAGAACGUUGCUGGACAGACUGCCCCAGAGCAGCCCGUGGCACGGCCCGCUGCUGCCCCGGCGAUGGAGGGGGUCGAUGAGGACCUAGCCCGAGACAGGGCCGAGGCGAGUGCCCCGAUGAGGGGUGAUGAAACCGCAUGGACUCGUCCCCCGAGCAGUGUGGAGGAGGGGGAAAACAAGGCUCCGUCUCCUGCUCUGGUUGAAGAGGAUAGGGCUCCGUCUCCAGCUCCGGUGGAGACUCCCAUGCAGGAGGGCGCUCCUGACCAAGGUAAGGGUCCUAUAAUACCCAUUACCAUGGUUUUGGGUAGUGUAGAGGGUGAAGAAGCUCAGGCGGUCUCCGACGACGAAGUGGAGGAGAUCCAGGGACGUCCCCGCGAUGGCCGCCAACACAUUUAUGUUUGGCGCCAGCGAUGGGACCACUAGGCCGGCCAUAAGGAGAUCGCUGAGGUCGAGGAGUCAGAGAGGGUAGAGCGCGCUGCCAAGCACCUCGUCAGCGAGGUUAAGGUAAGUGGUCUCACAUUUUGUUGGAGUAUAUAAACCGUGAAGUGUUUACUGUGUAGCAUGCCUGAAAUCCGCAGGACGCAAUGAAAACGGCAAAGUACCGGAAAAGGUGCUUCGACCAAAUUGAGGGCGUGGUCGUGGAGAACAAGACUCUGACUACGGAGGUGGACCGCCUUAGGUUGGAGGCCGAGAAGGAGGCCAAGGAGAAGGCAGCUCGGGAAGAGCAUGUGCUGGACCUGACUCGGCGACUAGCCGAUAAGGACCGUGAGAGGAGAAGUAAGUGAAAUUUCCUGGUCGAACAGUUGUAGCCGGCUAAGUGGUCAAUUUUUGUGAUGAAUAAUUAUCGCUUCAGGUCUGGAGGAGGAGAUUGAGCGCCGCCAAAAAGAGAGAGACCAGCUCAGCCAGGAGCACACGCGUGCGCUGGAGAGUGAGCGUAAGGCUGGCGAGGAGCUGAAGACCAGGAACCGAGAGCUGACUGGUAAGAUCCGUUUCGACUUCACCGACCAUGGAUUGAGUAUUGGCGGAGUGUGCUAUUGACUGUCUUCCUCUGAUUUUUCUUAAAACUUGUCGUAGUGCUCAAGGCCAACACCAAGAAGCACGUCGAGGACCUGGUCAAAGACCGGGACUCCUGGAAGAAAAAUUGCAUAAAAAUCUAGAAGGGAGUCACUCCGGUGCUGGACCUGGUCAGCCCAGAGCUCCCCGAGGACCAGCCCCGCGCACCGAGGCUGACCCCAGUCGAAAAGGCGCAACAAGCAUGGGGCUGGCUCUAGCAGUUCGUGAAGGACGCUGGGGAGUUUGCCGGAGCCCAUGUCCUCAGCAUGGUGCGCGCUCACUACCCCCUGGUCGAUCUGACCUGGUUGGAGAGGGGAUACCCAAAGGAGGUUGGUCCGAAGGAGGCGGAUGACCUUCGCGUCGGCCUACUAGAGCUGUCAUCGACGGUGAUCGGCAACAUCAACCUCUGCGGGACGUCUACUCCUCCUGAUCAGCCAGGGUCAGACAGGUCGGCCAGGGAGUUGUCGGGGGCAUCGAUUCCAGGAGAUGGGCGGUCGACGCCUGCGGUCUCGACCAGCCAGGCGCCGGUGGCCCCGACCCCUUCCACGGCACCAGAGGCUCAUGCAGGCGAGCAACCCGAGUAGUAGGCUCUAGUGUAGUCUGUAGAGAUAGACUAGAAACUGCCCAGAGUGGUGUUUACUGUAAACUUUGUUUAUAAAGUUUGUAAUAAAGUCUAAUUUUAAGAACCAUGGUUUUGAGCGCUGUAAAUAAGUUGUCUUAGUGAUUAUCACUGCAUAUGUCGGGUACCCUUGAUUGAUUUCAUUGUGUGACUUGUUGAGGACGGAUGUUGUUGUAUUUGUCAAGUACUCUGCAUGUAUAGAAAUAUAUGGCGAAAGAAAAACAAAUUUUAUUAUUAUUCAUCAGAAAAGGAUACAAGUAAGAUGUACUGAAACUUAGGGGUAGAAACGCCGUAGUUUGUCUAUGUGCUAGGAGUUAGGGAGACUUGUCCCGUCUGGGUAAGCCAGCCUGUAGGAGGUGGGACGCGUGACUUCGGUGACCACAAAAGGUCCCUCCCAGGGCGUAGAUUGCUUAUGCAUUCCUUCCUGGCUUGUUUUCCAUUUGAGUACCAGAUCACCGACCAUGAAGGAGCGAUCCUUGACAUUCUUGUUGUAGUAUCGUCUCAUGGCUUCGAGGUACUUUGCUGUUCGAAGGCAAGAGGCCAACCGUUUCUCUUCUGUGCAAUUAAUUUCAAGUUCUCUGGCAUGGUCUACUGAAGACUGGUCGAAGUGCUCGACUCUUGGGGAUCCGAAAGUUACGUAUGAGGGGAGCACUGCCUUAGCCCCAUAAACCAUGAAAUAGGGGGAUACACCCGUGUUUCGACUAGGCUGUGUUCGGAGACCCCAGACCACUGCUGGUAAUUCUUUCAUCCACUGCCCCCGUGCUCUGUCAUUUUCUGUGUACAACCUCUUCUUUAGUGCAUCUAUAAUCAUCCCAUUGGCUCGAUCCACUUGACCGUUGGCUCGGGGAUGAGCUACCGACAUGUAUUUUAUGACUAUGCCUCUGUCAUCACAGAAAUCCCAGAAUGUAGUGCCGGUGAACUGAGUGCCCAGGUCGGUGAUUAUACUGUUAGGAACUCUGAAUCUAUGUAUGAUUUGAUUGAGGAAUUCUACAGCCUUCUCUAGAGUUGCUUUGACCAGUGGCAUGUACUCGAUCCACUUGGAGAACUUGUCGAUCAGCAAGAAUACGAAUUUGAAAUUCCCGAAGCGGGUUUGAAUGGCCCAAUCAUAUCAAGGCCCCAGCAGGCGAAUGGCCAAGAUGACGGUAUUGUCUGGAUCUCGUGAGCGGGUACAUGAGUCCUUUUGGUGAAGAACUAACACCCCUCACAACGCCGGACCAACUUCUCAGCGUCAGCCACUGUGGUUGGCCAGUAAAAACCUGCUCGGAAGGCCUUUCCGACCAGCGUUCUAGAAGCGGUGUGGUUGCCACAGGAUCCAGCGUGUAUGUCAUCUAGCAGCUUGAUGCCAUCGUCUUGGGUUAUGCAUUUCAACAGGACUUCUGAGUUUGCAUUUUUUCGCAUAAGUCGGUCGUCGACCAUUAUAUAGUUUUAGGAUCAUCGGAUGAGACGUUCAUUCUCUGUCCUAUCUUGAAAUCCUAAACCGUCCGAGAGGUACUUAACGAAAGGUGGCAUUCUAGACGCUGUCACAAAACCGACCAAAUUAUAAGAGUUCAAGUGUAGAAACGAUCAACUCGCAAUCAAGUUUCCAGACUUGAGCCCAUAUAAUCCCGGUAGUCAACUAAAAUCUCAAAGGACUUCAAACCAACUUGCAACAAACCAAGAUCAUAAUAGUUCAACAUAAUACAGCGGAUGUUACAUAGUCAUUCAUUGCCGACGAAGCGGCACCACAUCGGAGUUACUUAGUUAUUACAACACAAGUUUUGGAGUAGCGGAAGCAAAAUAGUUUACACACACACUUUUCAUAAGUUCUUUUAGUGCCAGAGUCUCAUCUCAUCCACCAAAAGCAUCAGGGUAGAAAGUCGUUAGAGAACCGCGCCCAACGGUUAGUCCUCAUCCCCAGCGGGAUGGAGACAGGUCUUGCAGAAGCCAUCAUAAAAGACAUCAUCUGCAACAGGUGGGAAUAAACCCUGAGUACGAGGAUGUACUCAGCUAGACUUACCCGUCUAACCAAACAUAAAAGACACCAAGGAUCAUGCAAGGCUAAGUAUAAGUGUAGCUAGCUUGACUCAGACAAUUUGCCAAAAGCUUAAGUGGGUACUACACCAUUUAUAAAGCAUCAUAUUAAUCAUCAUUAGCCUACUACUAGAUUAGCACCUGGACUAAACACUUCACUUGAUUAUUACAAACAAUAAUAACCACAUCAAGUUCAUCAUAUGUUCUUCCUUGCUAUCAUCAACAUCAUUAUCAAGAACCACUGUACUUAGUGAUUGCUACGUUUGCCGCUGCUCUAUCAAGUUCUCACUAUGCGGGAGAGAUGGUGAUUCGAAUUGAUUCCUAUCUAGCUAGAGGGUUAUUCCUAGCACUCACCCAAGCAUCCCCCGCCGGAGGGCAAACGGGUCACCUUUCGUACGACUCAGGAAUCGCGGCUCUGAUCAGCGCCACACUCCUAGGGCUACCACUCUGCCAGGGCGGUCAGAACUUUUAACUCACCUGCCUUUGGUCUUACGCCAAUGGCCCCCCGCACACCGCACUUCCUCUGGUAGUGCGCACUUUAUACUUGCCGGUCUUCCGGCCUGAGUCAUACUACUAGGCUUCGCGGUCGGAACGAGUUAUACGGCCAACUAAGUGUCAGGCAUGCGUUCAACAUGAGAAGAGGACGUACAACGAUUGGUCCUUAGCUGCCACAGAUGGAGUUACUAUAACCUUGCAAAACUCCGCCUGGCUUAAGUCAUUUUACUCAGGUUCUUUCCCACGAUAGCACAUAUAGUCAAUCGUGAUCCGACACAACCCUAAUUCGCGCAGGUGACAGGAUAUCACCCGACUUCUACCGAUUAAAGCAUGGCUAAGCUGCUACUCAAUCCUAACUCUACAACCAGGUAGUGGUAAUAUAUCUAGACAAGGAAAGGGCACAAUGCACUAAGGGCUUCAUCACAACUCCUAUACGUAAUGCAUCAAUAGAUAUAACAUAAUCAAGUAUGCUUUUGAAAUUAAAGUGGGAGACUUAAGAUGCUCCGGGGCUUGCCUUUCACAAAUGAGGCUGGCUCAUGAUUAGGGCACUCGACCUCCUCUUCGGGCUCCUCUUGUCCGGCUGGCUGGACCUCCGCCUCCUGAGUGAUCUCCGGGCCUUCGUGGUUCACCCGAUCGAGCUCGAACGAGGCUGCCGCUUCCGGUGCACCUAUUGCAUGAUGUGUGCAUACUAGAUGAGGAUGAAUGCUUGGUAACAUGAUUAGAACUUAACUGGACACUCAUUUACUAAGUAAGCUUCCAUUACAAGCUCACAAAUGAUUACCAACUUAACUAACAAGACUCAGCAAGUUAAACCAUUAAACAGCAACAACCAAAUAACAGAGCAGCUCAAGGAACAAUUCAUAACUAAUUCUAUACAGAUCCAACAAACAUAAAUGGGGACAUUCUGGAAAGCUUAUGAAAUUGUUUGCAUUUCAUCUUUAGAUAUCAUAGCGAGAUUCACCAGUUAAACAGGUGAACUAAACAAAUUUCCAGGAUCUGUUCCAGAAAAACAGAAAGCACCUAGUUCUGGAACUCAACUUGGAAGAGCCAUAACUUUUAAACUACUGGACUAAAUGAUCCCAAAUUUAAACUGCAGCUAUCUCACAAAGUUUACAACAUCUUUGAUUUAAGCAAGUCUUUCAUAAAACCAAGUUAUCAUCAAGCAAAGGUCAGAUUACUCCCUUGCUGUCCAGAACAGCUAUAAACCUUUAAUUAAUUAUUUGAUGAUAUGGCAAAAACAUAUUUAGUGCCAACCAAGUGGCUUAUACCUUAUAAGCACAAGCAUAACCUAAGAUUACCAGAACAUCACAAGUUGACCACUAUACAUAUAAUAACAAGGCAUUUAUUAAUUUAACUUCAUAAAAGGUCAUAAUUACAAAAUACCAGCAAAAGUACUCAGAAAAAUCUACAAAAAUUACAGAAGCACAAGCACGGCAUCUGGACACUACCAUAAAAUUUUCAGAGCAAUUGCACAUGCCAAACUUAAGAUAAGUAAUUAACAUGUAACAAGGUGCUUAUUUCAUAAAUUAAGAAACAUUGCAUAGAUAGUGUCAAACAACAGAUUUCAGAUUAUUUACAUGCUACUUAUUACUAUAAAUAAGCUUGACACCAAAGGAGAACACCAACAUAAGCUUCAAACAUUUAUUAUGAUUUAAAUAUGAAAUCAAGCCAUACUAUUAACAUAAAUUACAUAUCGGGGAUACAACACUCCAAAAAUCAUGAAAUAUUUAUCAGAGCAUUCUAAUACUACUUAGAGCAUAGCAUAAAAUUUUCACAGCAAUUGGAGCAGUAUAUCAAAAGAUAUGAAUUUACACAUAAUUAACAAGAUUAAUUCAUAACAAUUAUUUUUCACAGAAAACAUGGUGCAUGCUAUAUUUUUAUUAAAAACUAGCCAUCUCAUGAUUAUCACAAAAGAGCUCAGAAACUGUAGAUAUGAUUUUUGCAGGAUUGCAAGAAAUCUAGAUUUUAAAUAAAAGAGAGGAGGGAGCCGCUGUGUCACUGACAGCGGGACCCGCGUGUAAGCGACCCAGAGAACAGAGGACACAGUCGCCGGCGAUUGCUCGCCGACGGUGAGUGUUGGGUAUUUUAAACGCAAACAGAAAAAUCCGCAAGCGCACGGAUACCGAUGUAGCUUUCACCCGGGAGUAUUCCAGAGUAUCGAUUUUCCACAGAGAACGUGAGUGUACUAAUUAAGAUCCAAGAUCGCCCAAGGAUAACUAUAUAAUUAUUUUUGGUGGGAAGACAGGAAGUUUCCUGAGAGUUCUCUAGUUGAUCUAAGAAUCAAGAAUUACUUCAAGAUUAUCUAUAUCGGGACAUCAGAACACUAACCACAGAAAGAGAUGAGAAGGGGGCUAGGAAGCUCCGACUACGGUCCUACAAACACCGAUCCGAACGAGGUGGAAUACGUCGACCGUUAGGGCUGUCACUACCCUAAGGCUACCACAAACAAUCCGCAGGAUUGGGUGCAAUUCCAGAUAAUUGCAAGACUAAACACCAUGUCUAAUCUAUUAAUUACUACUCUAAUGUUUCAAAGAUUAGAGCACUUGAUGCAAGCGGAAUCCAAUAAAUAACUUGAAUGUAAAUAAAAGUAAUUAGAGAACUCAGGAGUUAUGAGUUGAAGAACCUGGAGAACGUUGAAGAACGAACCAGAUGCUGCAAAGUACAAUGUUGAGGAAGACCCGACAGAUCCGGCUCCUCCUCCGCUCUCCUCUUCUCUCUCCCUAUUUUCUAGAUUACAACUAGAACUAACUAGAACUAGAACUAGAGGAACUAGAACUAGAACUAGAUGAACUAGAACUAGAUCUAGAUGAACUAGAGGUAGAACUAGAAGAACUAGAGGGAUCCUCUCUACUUGGAUGAAGAAUUGAAACCCUAGCUUUGAUUCUGUAGAAGAGGUAUGAUCUCCAGGGGCCAGGGGGCCUUGCUUAUAUAGUCUUUUCAGAUGAAUCUGGGCCGUCGGAUCAAACCGACAUUAAUCGCACGGUUUUCCUUGGUCCCUUAGGUCGGUGGAGCACGAUCCGUAAAGUUGAAGCUGAUUGGUUACUGUAGCUGGGCGGGCACCCAAGGGACUUGGGCGGGCGCCCUGCCCCCGGGCCCGAUCGGCCUCCCGUUCGUUCCCGUGGCUUCUGGAGUCUUUUAGAUGGUAGAAAAUUGUACGGCACGUUAAUAUCUCUAUGUAAACCCGACGUGUGGGCCUUUCUUUCAUAUUUCCUGAUAACCCCCUGUAGAAAUAGGCAAACACCAAAACUCGUGGAAUUCUGUCAGAUAAAACCCUUAGUCUAGGUGUUGGCUGCAUUUGGAUCCUUUUCCAUGAUUAAUUGAUGGUUAAAUGUGAGCAUUAAGGACCGUCAACAGUGAGCUUCUCCGGCGGAUCCAAGGGCACCAACGUGAUCCUUGAGUGAUUCCGCGCUGAUAGAGGUAGGUGGCUCUAGGGUUUGAGCGACUGUUGACGGUCCUUAAUGCUCACAUUUAACCGUCAACUAAUUAUGGAAAAGGACCUUUAUGCAACUAAUAUCCAGAAUUAGGGUUUUAUCUGACAGAAUCCACGAGUUUUGGUGUUUGUCUAUUUCUGCAGGGGGUUAUCAGGAAAUACGGAGGAAAGGCUCACACGUCGGGUUUACAUAGAGAUAUUAACGUGCUGCGCAAUUUUCUAUCAUCUAGAAGACUCCAGAAGCCACGGGAACAAAGCGGAGGCAGAACGGGGUCUGGCCCAGGGCGCCCGCCCUAGAGACUAGGGCGCCCGCCCACCUUCUAUGCCCAAUCAGAGUCCUCUUCGGGGAUCAUGCUCCACCGACCUAAAGGAUCAAGGAUAACCGUUCAAUCAAUGUCGGUUUGAUCCGACGGCCCAGAUUCAUCUGAAAAUACUAUAUAAGCAAGGCCCCCUGGCCCCUAGAUAACAUACCUCUUCUACAGAAUCAAAGCUAGGGUUUCAAUUCUUCAUCCAAGUAGAGAGGAUCCCUCUAGUUCAUCUAGUUCUAGUUCUAGUUAGUUCUAGUUGUAAUCUUGAAAAUAGAGAGAGAGAAGAGGAGAGCGGAGGAGGAGGAGCCGGAUCUGUCGGAUCUUCCUCAACAUUGUACUUUUGCAGUCUAGUUCCUCUAGUUCUAGUUCUAGUUCCUCUAGUUCUAGUUCUAGUUAGUUCUAGUUGUAAUCUAGAAAAUAGGGAGAGAGAAGAGGAGAGCGGAGGAGGAGGAGCCGGAUCUGUCAGAUCUUCCUCAACAUUGUACUUUUGCAGCAACUGGUUCGUUCUUCAUCGUUCUCUAGGUUCUUCAAUUCAUAAUUCCUGAGUUCUUUAAUUACUUUUAUUUACAUUCAAGUUAUUUAUUGGAUUCCCGCUUGCAUCAAGUGCUCUUGUCUUUAUAACGCUAGAGUAGUAAUUAAUAGAUUAGACGUGGUGUUUAGUCUUGCAAUUACCUGGAAUUGCACCCAAUCCUGCGGAUUGUUGCGGUAGCCCUAGGGUAGUGACAGCCCUAACGGUCGAUGUAUUCCACCUCGUUCGGAUCGGUGUUUGUAGGACCGUAGUCAGAGCUUCCUAGCCCCCUUGUCAUCUCUUUCUGUGGUUAGUGUUCUGAUGUCCCGAAAUAAAUAAUCUUUGAAGUAAUUCUUGAUUCUUAGAUCAACUAGAGAACUCUCAGGAAACUUCCUCUCUUCCCACCAAAAAUAAUUAUAUAGUUAUCUUUGGGCGAUCUUGAAUCUAAAUUAGUACACUCACGUUCCCUGUGGAAAAUCGAUACUCUGGAAUACUCCCGGGUGAAAGCUACAUCGGUAUCCGUGCGCUUGCGGAUUUUUCUGUUUGCGUUUAAAAUACCCAACAAGCUUUUUGGCGCCGUUGCCGGGGUACGGUAGCUGUGCUAGUUUCGAACCAAGUCGUCCUUGUAUCCUUUUUCUUUUCCUUUUUCUACCACACUCACCUUACCAUUUUCACCACACCACAUGGAUUUCACUCCAAGAAUUAAUGAGCAUGGAAUUUAUUUUAUAGCCACUUUAUUUGCUCCAUGAUCAUAUGCAACAUCUUCCCAAUCUAUUGGUCUCUCCAACAUCACCACAUUCGAGAUCUCCAACCCCCUCAUCCUUUCUAUUUAUAAAAACUUUAAAAGGGCAGUUGUCGAUACAUAUGUCUAUAAUAAAUAUUGCAGAUCUCGUUGAGUUGAUCUUGAUAUAGGUCAGCGUUGGAGGGGAAACCACUUCGCCGACAUAAAUUGAUGGUUUCCCAAAGACAAGCUUAGUGUCCUAAAAUAAGCACUGAUCAGAUCGAAGAGCUUUUAAUUAUUUGCAACAUUACCUUGUGUAUUGAGCAUAUAAGGAUAAUUGUAAAAAAAUUCCUUCGGGUAUUCUUGUCACUAACCUUUCCAGGAUUGGAGCAAGAAGAUCGGAUGAAUGACAAGCACAAGGUAUGUCCAACCAAUCAUCGUACAACAUUGAAUUAAAUUCAUCCAAACUUGAAUUUUGCAAAAUUCAAGCUUGGGGGAGUACUUUACAUAAAAACAUCCUUUUCCAUGUUGGUAUGUUGGUUGUCCCUACCUUUGAGACAUGCUCAAUUUGUUAAAUACUAAUCACACUACUUCAUCUCCACUUGAGUAGAUCUCUAUAAAUGCUCUCAUGCUACCUUUAUUUUCUUUAGUAUAAGUCUAGGUUUGGUGUAGUUUCAUUUAUCUCUUAAUUAAGCAUGGUGCUUAGUUUAGGAAUGAUGAUCUUACUUCCAAGGGAUUUUAAAUUAAGCAUGGUGCUUAGGUCAAAAUGCCCUCCUAAAUCAAAUUAGACAUGGUGUCUAGGUUGAUUUUUGAGCCGAUAGUAUGCUAUAGUAGGUAUUGGAUAUUUUGUUGGACUAACCCCUACAGGAAAACUUUCAAUAUCGACCUGUGAAGUCCUGAGAUAAACUCACAUUGGAGACAAAGAGAGAGACACAUGAAGUUUAACAAUUUACACAAGGAAGGCAUAGCUCACAAGAGAUGAUCCAUGGAGGGUGCCACAAACACGAUGCAUAACCGCUAAGAAAGGAAAGCUUCCACAAGGUGAUACUGUACCAUCAUUCUUCAAGUAAGGUAACAUCUUAAGGUACUUGACUAUCACUUUUAUAAGUUUCUCCUUGGUUCUAACGUUCACAUGAAUAAAAGAGACAAACAUGUAUGAUUUACAACUCUAGAUUAACCAACACAAUCAAUUCAACAUGUUUAGUCCUUCCACCUUUGUGAUCCCACACUCCUAAUCGUAUGAACUAAAAUGUUGCACACGCAAUCUUUGGAAGAUAUAUAUAAAAAAACAUAAGUAUAGAAAGAUUAUAUUUCCAUUAGGUUGAGCGAUCUGAUCUGACAAAUGUUUUAAAUGCUACACUCAUGAUCUUUUUAUCCAUCAACGCUCACUAUGCUUAAGGUUAGAGAAGAACAAAUACACUUUUGGUUCUUUUGGUGUUUUCCACCAAUAGGGCCCAUGCACUUGAUCUCUGCCUUCUCUCUGUGAGCAGGUACACUUUGAGCAAAAUAUGAAGGAGUUUUACAACUCCCAGACUCCACCAAGUGAAGAACCUGGAUCUACGAGCACAAACACACUGGAGAUACUAGACACUCAGGCAAUCACUGCCCUAAGAUGCUUGAGGACGUAAACUACAUCAUCAACAACAACAACUACUACAACCGUCCUCAACAAAAUCAAGGUUGGAAUCAACAGAGGCCUAACUACUUAGCUUGCAGAUCAGACACUAAGUUUCCCAAAGGGAAUAUUGAAGAGCCUCUACGUCCGAGUUGGUACCUUGUACGCCCCAGCAUACUUUAUGGUAAUAGAGACCGGUAAUAAUGAGAGGGCACCCAUCAUCCUAGGGAGGCCAUUCCUGAACACCUCGGGAGCUGUCAUCUAUGCUAGUGCUACCAAGAUCAGUUUCUACAUCAAGGGGAGGAAGGAGACGUUUUCCUUCAAGAACAAGACUACACAAAGCUCAGAGCAAUCCCGACAUGAACCAAGGAAGAGGACCAACAGGAGGAACAUGAACAAGCAAAUGUGGACCGAGUUAGCUAAGAUGGUCUCUACAGUUCAAGGAGGUCAAGAUCGUCGACUUAAGUCACCGUUCCUGACCAAAAAGGACGACCCAGGUAUGCCAAGCAUCUAAUGCUCCAUUAAUGGAUACAACUUCUAGAAGACGCUUUGCGACACCAGGUCAGGCGUCAACAUAAUGGCCGCAGUCACCUAUCAGCUCUUGUUUGGAACCAUGCCCCUAAAACCAACAUACAUUCAACUCCAGAUGGCAGAUCAGACAUUCCGAAAGGUUGAAGGUAUAGUAACUGAUGUCCCUGUCAAAAUAGAUGAUCAUUUUGUCCAUACAGACUUUCAGGUUAUUGAUAUGGGAGAAGACGAGUACGAUCCACCAUCAUCGUUGGAAGAGCUUUCCUCAGCACCUUAAAGCAAUCAUCUACAUUGGAACCGGAGAAGUCCACAUGCACUUCCCUCUGAGAAGGUACGCCGCUAUUUUACUGACCCUAACUAUAUAGUUGAAAACUCUAAGCAGGUCAGGACAAGAAGAAUAUGAUGCAUCCACAACCAGAGGAGGCAAAUCAUCAAGGACGGAUGGGCAGACUACGAAGGAGAAGUGGUAAGGUCUGAAGACAUACAGCUUGAACAGAACUGUCCUGAGGAGACCAUAGCACCGAGUCAGGUGUGGAGAGAGAAGAUAGUUAUACAUAAAGAGGAGACACCGCCAGAAGCACCGACUAUGCCAUCCAAUGAAUCUCAGGACAACUGAGAAAACGGAGAGUCCCGUUCGGAGGACUUAAAAACACCGAACGCCUUGCCAAGAGGUUAACUUGGUAGUUAUCUUUUUCCUUUCAAUUAUUUCAAAUAGUUUACUUAGUUAAUUAUGUUUGUACUAUCCUAAAAAGAAAAUAAAAAUGUUAAAAACAGUAAGCCCCAUGUGAGUAUACGAGUGGCUUAAAACCCAUAAGUAUAUUCACUGUGGUGGCAUAAAAAUAAAAUAAAUAUUUUUCUGCUCUAUAAAAAUGAAAAUAUAAAAAUAGAGAGUAAUAUUUAUUGAGGAGGCUCAACAUGAUAAAGGCUAGAUAUUUAUGCUAAUACCUAAUCAAUUCCACAAAGUUUUGUUAUCUAUUUGAGCUCCACAGAAUUUAAGGAUCAAGAAGACUAGCAGACGGAGGACAUUCUAAGCGCUGUUAGGGUGUUGCCGACUUUCAAAUACACCUCUGCCACCUGCUAGCUACAACAGAAGAAAUUACAUCAAAAUUCACCUUGGGGGAGAGCACCCCCAUUUAUCCCGCUAAGUAUUUCUAUCUAUCUAUAUACAUAUACUAUAUUAAAAUAUAAAUAUACAUAACCAUGAAAAACCAAAUAAAGAUUUUUGUGCUUAUAUAUAUAUAUAUAUCUUUUGCUUAGUAUGCUUAAUAAAUAAAUAAAGUGGCUAUGCUAAACUGAAUCUUAAUAAUAAAACUCUAGCAUGGAUAUGAUGAAUAGUUGCUCUGCCUAAUUUUCAAAUUUGAGUUCUUUCUCUAGUUUAGACAUAACUGUUAUAAUUUAAAGCUUGCUCUAAACCUGAACUUGUGGGAAGAGAACUUGAUCUGAAGUCUAAGUUGUUAACAUAUAUGAUAUGGGAAGGUUGAGCUGUUGUUUAUCUGUUCCUAGAGAUGCUAGAAAACUGGAGGAUUUUAUCUUUGAAAAUCUUUAAAAUGUUGCAUGAUGAGUUCCUGUAUGAUGAGAGUUGAAAAUCCUACCACAGCUAUAUAUACAUGCUUAUUAGACUAUGAACCAUACAUUUACUUUUUACUGCUUAUAAGAAUUGAGUGUGGUCAAGCUGUGUAGACCCUUAGGAGCUUAUCAUGUGGUUAAAUCAAGAUUCACUUGCACGUUCACUCACACAUGCUGCUUCUACUCCGGAAGUAUGCAUCCACAUAUAUCCACUCAUUUCCAUCUCCAGAAUCUCCUAAAAAUAUUCUACUCCCAAUCCGAGAGAGAAUAGCCAAAAACAUUUCUAUUUUUCCCCUAUGGAAUAAAUGCUCAAGUUAUCUUGGUUACUACCACUUGCUAUAUUAUUUCAGGAAAUGAGUGCUCUAAAAAAAGAAAAAGAAAAGAUACGAGGAAAUAAAAAGGGGCAAGUGCCCGGAACCUCGAAAGAAAAGAAAAAGUGAGACGAGAGGUAAAAAUGGACAAGUGUCCGAUAGUAGAAUUAUGGUUACAAGAUACCCACCUGAGAGAAAAGAAAAAGAAAAUAUAGAGCAUCUCAUUCUCCUCAAAAAGUUUCAAAAGAGCAAGAAAGGUAUGUAUCCCCUCAAAAGAGCGCAAGUAGAAUUAGACUUUCACCAUUGUUAUCACCAUCAUCACCAUACACCAUUCAUUCGCCACACAUGCACAUCUUGAUUUGACUUAUUGACUUGUUCUUCUGGAUCCAUGGUUUGACUAUGCAAUAAAUGUCUUGUAAGUAUGUAUUAGCUGUCUCCCACCUAUGAGCUCUAGAUAUCAAAACCUUAUUAGAGUAGGGUGACAGAGAAGGCAAUGCCACUAUGCCUCAUACCAAAAAUACCUCAUACUUUGAGAGAAGGCAUACACCAUUACUGCCUUGGUAAGGAUCCAGAAAUACCACAAAAGAGAGACUAGAGAGACUCAUACAAGGAAUCUCUGAGUUUUAUUUGAAAAUCUACAAAAAACUCAAGAGCUAUAGUUAAUCGAAGAACAAGAGACAUGGCGCUUGACUAGACCGUUCUAUCUUUUAACUACUAAAGACACAAGUGACGGUUGCAAGCCCCAUGGUGGAAGGUAAAAUGAGUAAGUUUAAAUCUUAACAGUUUACCCUAACCCAGAGAUGAGAUCUUGUUUGAACACAUCUGUAUCUUUAAGGCAUGAAACCACUGCAGAAACUGUUAAGUUCAUCUUUGCUCAGGGACGAGCAAAGGUUAAGCUUGGGGGAGCUUGUUGACGGUCCUUAAUGCUCACAUUUAACCGACAACUAAUCAUGGAAAAGGACCUAUAUGCAACCAACAUCCAGAAUUAGGGUUUUAUCUAACAGAAUUCCACGAGUUUUGGUGUUUGUCUAUUUCUGCAGGGGGUUAUCAGGAAAUACGGAGGAAAGGCCCACACGUCGGGUUUACAUAGAGAUAUUAACGUGCCGCGCAAUUUUCUAUCAUCUAGAAGACUCCAGAAGCCACGGGAACGAAGCGGAGGCAGAACGGGGACUGGCCUAGGGUGCCCGCCCUAGAGACUAGGGCGCCCGCCCACCUUCUGUGCCCAAUCAGAGUCCUCUUCGGGGAUCAUGCUCCACCGACCUAAAGGAUCAAGGAUAACCGUUCAAUCAAUAUUGGUUUGAUCCGAUGGCCCAGAUUCAUCUGAAAAGACUAUAUAAGCAAGGCCCCCUGGCCCCUGGAGAACAUACCUCUUCUAAGAAUCAAAGCUAGGGUUUUAAUUCUUCAUCCAAGUAGAGAGGAUCCCUCUAGUUCAUCUAAUUCUAGUUCUAGUUCCUCUAGUUCUAGUUCUAGUUAGUUCUAGUUGUAAUCUAGAAAAUAGGGAGAGUGAAGAGGAGAGCG
Molecule: long non-coding RNA, 22606 nt
Filed under: Sorghum bicolor (sorghum)
Lineage: Eukaryota; Viridiplantae; Streptophyta; Magnoliopsida; Poales; Poaceae
Description: long non-coding RNA (SBIC_LNC014702)
Source: RNAcentral